This 433-nucleotide ribosomal RNA is filed under the name uncultured bacterium. Its description in RNAcentral is "partial 16S ribosomal RNA". It matches the Rfam family "Bacterial small subunit ribosomal RNA", at positions 29 to 507 of the family's 1533-position model. The record is from RNAcentral.
AACGAACGCUGGCGGCAGGCCUAACACAUGCAAGUCGAGCGGACCCUUCGGGGUUAGCGGCGGACGGAUGAGUAACGCGUGGGAAUAUGCCCUUCUCUACGGAAUAGUCCUGGGAAACUGGGGGUAAUACCGUAUACGCCCUUUGGGGGAAAGAUUUAUCGGGGAAGGAUUAGCCCGCGUUGGAUUAGGUAGUUGGUGGGGUAAUGGCCUACCAAGCCGACGAUCCAUAGCUGGUUUGAGAGGAUGAUCAGCCACACUGGGACUGAGACACGGCCCAGACUCCUACGGGAGGCAGCAGUGGGGAAUCUUAGACAAUGGGGGCAACCCUGAUCUAGCCAUGCCGCGUGAGUGAUGAAGGCCUUAGGGUUGUAAAGCUCUUUCAGCUGGGAAGAUAAUGACGGUACCAGCAGAAGAAGCCCCGGCUAACUCCGUG